RNAcentral lists this ribosomal RNA (380 nucleotides) under Draconarius sp. ZZ464. RNAcentral's name for it is "partial 16S ribosomal RNA". Lineage: Eukaryota; Metazoa; Arthropoda; Arachnida; Araneae; Agelenidae. The record is from RNAcentral.
CUCAAUGAAAUAUUCAAUAGCCGCAAAUACAUUUGUGCUAAGGUAGCAUAAUCAUUUGUUUUUUAAUUAAAAACUAGAACGAAAGAUUUAACAUUUUUACUUCUUUAUUUAACAUAAUAAUUAAAUUUAUCUUAAAUAUAAAAAGAUAUUUAUAUUUAAAAAAGACGACAAGACCCUAUUGAAUUUUACUAAAGUUAAACUGGGGUAGUUAAUCAAAUAUAAUUUUAAUUAAAAUUUCUAAAAAACCUAAUAUAAUUAUUCAUCAAAUUACCAUAGGGAUAACAGCGUAAUAAUUUUCCAAAGAUCUUAUUCCAAAAAUUGUUUACGACCUCGAUGUUGAAUUAAUAAUCUAUUAAAUGCAAUAAUUUAAUAAGAAAGUC